RNAcentral lists this ribosomal RNA (836 nucleotides) under Staphylococcus epidermidis. Its description in RNAcentral is "bacterial SSU rRNA". It matches the Rfam family "Bacterial small subunit ribosomal RNA", at positions 62 to 878 of the family's 1533-position model. The record is from RNAcentral. Lineage: Bacteria; Bacillati; Bacillota; Bacilli; Caryophanales; Staphylococcaceae.
UCGAGCGAACAGACGAGGAGCUUGCUCCUCUGACGUUAGCGGCGGACGGGUGAGUAACACGUGGAUAACCUACCUAUAAGACUGGGAUAACUUCGGGAAACCGGAGCUAAUACCGGAUAAUAUAUUGAACCGCAUGGUUCAAUAGUGAAAGACGGUUUUGCUGUCACUUAUAGAUGGAUCCGCGCCGCAUUAGCUAGUUGGUAAGGUAACGGCUUACCAAGGCAACGAUGCGUAGCCGACCUGAGAGGGUGAUCGGCCACACUGGAACUGAGACACGGUCCAGACUCCUACGGGAGGCAGCAGUAGGGAAUCUUCCGCAAUGGGCGAAAGCCUGACGGAGCAACGCCGCGUGAGUGAUGAAGGUCUUCGGAUCGUAAAACUCUGUUAUUAGGGAAGAACAAAUGUGUAAGUAACUAUGCACGUCUUGACGGUACCUAAUCAGAAAGCCACGGCUAACUACGUGCCAGCAGCCGCGGUAAUACGUAGGUGGCAAGCGUUAUCCGGAAUUAUUGGGCGUAAAGCGCGCGUAGGUGGUUUUUUAAGUCUGAUGUGAAAGCCCACGGCUCAACCGUGGAGGGUCAUUGGAAACUGGAAAACUUGAGUGCAGAAGAGGAAAGUGGAAUUCCAUGUGUAGCGGUGAAAUGCGCAGAGAUAUGGAGGAACACCAGUGGCGAAGGCGACUUUCUGGUCUGUAACUGACGCUGAUGUGCGAAAGCGUGGGGAUCAAACAGGAUUAGAUACCCUGGUAGUCCACGCCGUAAACGAUGAGUGCUAAGUGUUAGGGGGGUUUCCGCCCCUUAGUGCUGCAGCUAACGCAUUAAGCACUCCGCCUGGGG